Molecule: ribosomal RNA, 322 nt
Filed under: uncultured eukaryote
Lineage: Eukaryota
Description: partial 18S ribosomal RNA
Rfam family: Eukaryotic small subunit ribosomal RNA
Source: RNAcentral
CCCUUAGAUGUUCUGGGCCGCACGCGUGCUACACUGAGUAGAUCAGCGGGUCAGGUUGCGCGAAAGCGUUUCCUAAUCUUUAAAUCCGCUCGUGAUGGGGAUUGACGGUUGCAAUUUUCUGUCAUGAACGAGGAAUACCUUGUAAGCGCGGGUCAUCAUCCCGCGCUGAAUACGUCCCUGCCCUUUGUACACACCGCCCGUCGCUCCUACCGAUUGAGUGGUCCGGUGAGGCUUUGGGAUCUGAGCGGAAAGAGCGUUUCGCUGUUUCUGCUCGGAAAACUCAGUCGAACCUUAUCAUUUAGAGGAAGGAGAAGUCGUAACA